RNAcentral lists this ribosomal RNA (492 nucleotides) under uncultured bacterium. RNAcentral describes it as "partial 16S ribosomal RNA". It matches the Rfam family "Bacterial small subunit ribosomal RNA", at positions 29 to 507 of the family's 1533-position model. The record is from RNAcentral.
AGUGAACGCUGGCGGUAGGCCUAACACAUGCAAGUCGAACGGCAGCACAGUAAGAGCUUGCUCUUACGGGUGGCGAGUGGCGGACGGGUGAGGAAUACAUCGGAAUCUACUUUUUCGUGGGGGAUAACGUAGGGAAACUUACGCUAAUACCGCAUACGACCUACGGGUGAAAGCAGGGGAUCUUCGGACCUUGCGCGAUUGAAUGAGCCGAUGUCGGAUUAGCUAGUUGGCGGGGUAAAGGCCCACCAAGGCGACGAUCCGUAGCUGGUCUGAGAGGAUGAUCAGCCACACUGGAACUGAGACACGGUCCAGACUCCUACGGGAGGCAGCAGUAGGGAAUAUUGGACAAUGGGCGCAAGCCUGAUCCAGCCAUGCCGCGUGGGUGAAGAAGGCCUUCGGGUUGUAAAGCCCUGUUGUUGGGAAAGAAAAGCAGCAGGUUAAUACCCCGCUGUUCUGACGGUACCCAAAGAAUAAGCACCGGCUAACUUCGUG